This is a non-coding RNA of Tephrocybe rancida, 99 nucleotides long. The record is from the annotation of a GenBank genome assembly. NCBI's taxonomy places the organism in Eukaryota, Fungi, Basidiomycota, Agaricomycetes, Agaricales, Lyophyllaceae.
AGCAGCAUGGCGCAGUUGGAAGCGCGCGGGGCCCAUAUACACUGGGAUCUGGAUGUAUGUGCCACCCCGAGGUCACUCGAUCGAAACGAGUUGCUGCUA